RNAcentral lists this ribosomal RNA (551 nucleotides) under uncultured bacterium. Its description in RNAcentral is "bacterial SSU rRNA". It matches the Rfam family "Bacterial small subunit ribosomal RNA", at positions 777 to 1327 of the family's 1533-position model. The record is from RNAcentral.
AAUAGAUACCCAGGUAGUCCACGCCGUAAACGAUGAGUGCUAAGUGUUAGGGGGUUUCCGCCCCUUAGUGCUGCAGCUAACGCAUUAAGCACUCCGCCUGGGGAGUACGGUCGCAAGACUGAAACUCAAAGGAAUUGACGGGGGCCCGCACAAGCGGUGGAGCAUGUGGUUUAAUUCGAAGCAACGCGAAGAACCUUACCAGGUCUUGACAUCCCAUUGGCCACUAUGGAGACAUAGUUUUCCCUUCGGGGACAACGGUGACAGGUGGUGCAUGGUUGUCGUCAGCUCGUGUCGUGAGAUGUUGGGUUAAGCCCCGCAACGAGCGCAACCCUUGUUCUUAGUUGCCAUCAUUUAGUUGGGCACUCUAAGGAGACUGCCGGUGACAAACCGGAGGAAGGUGGGGAUGACGUCAAAUCAUCAUGCCCCUUAUGACCUGGGCUACACACGUGCUACAAUGGACGGUACAAACGGUUGCCAACCCGCGAGGGGAGCUAAUCCGAUAAAACCGUUCUCAGUUCGGAUUGUAGGCUGCAACUCGCCUACAUGGAACG